GCGAGAGUGCUGGAACUGGUAGACAGGCACGUUUGAGGGGCGUGUGUCUUUGGCGUGUGGGUUCAAGUCCCAUCUCUCGCACCA
RNAcentral lists this transfer RNA (84 nucleotides) under Clostridiales bacterium. RNAcentral describes it as "tRNA-Leu". It matches the Rfam family "tRNA". From Rfam's summary of the family: Transfer RNA (tRNA) molecules are approximately 80 nucleotides in length. Their secondary structure includes four short double-helical elements and three loops (D, anti-codon, and T loops). Lineage: Bacteria; Bacillati; Bacillota; Clostridia; Eubacteriales. The record is from RNAcentral.